UUUUAUUUUUUUGUUUGUUUUUGGCUUGUAUUAUACUAGAUAGCUGUAUAAUAUAGUAGCUGUGCCACGCGGUUCCACCCGCAUAAUCUCCGAUCCCGUGGGAAUGUCGAGAUAAAAAGUUGCCAAUGUUUUAUUCUCAACUGAGGUAGGGCACAGCAGGAAAAACCUUGUUCAAGAUAUGGAGCAGCCCGAGUGGGGUAGUACCCCGACCUUACAAAAAUCACAGCUAAAUAGUACUGUUUUCAAGCUGUGUUUUGUUCCUGUUGGUGAGUAAGAUGACUAGAGCUUCUGGAGGGGUGGAUAGGGAAUAGGGUCGGCAACGCGCUUGCGAUACUUCUAAUGUUACAGACAUCUAUAAGCUACGGUAGUCACUUUCCAUGAGGCAGAAUCGGUCUGGCAGUUGGUGACACACCGUGCGUGUACCUAUGCCGAUAGCAUCUAUUAAAGGAGAAUUGGCCGUUCAUGUGUUCCGGUGACUGCGGACGGCGGACGACGUCGCGGCAGUUCGCGACAAGAAUAAUUAAACCGAUGUGUCUAUUGAUUGCCGCAUGAAUAUUGUAUACUUAUUAACGAGCUGACAAUAGAAUGAGG
RNAcentral lists this unclassified non-coding RNA (591 nucleotides) under Melitaea cinxia (Glanville fritillary). RNAcentral describes it as "misc RNA ENSMCXG00005007211.1". Lineage: Eukaryota; Metazoa; Arthropoda; Insecta; Lepidoptera; Nymphalidae. The record is from RNAcentral.